CCUACGGGUGGCAGCAGUGAGGAAUAUUGGUCAAUGGCCGGAACGCUGAACCAGCUACGCCGCGUGAAGGACGAAGGUGUCCAGCAUUGUAAACUUCUUUUGUCAAGGGACAAAAUCAGGCUCGAGAGCCUGACCGAGGGUCCUUGUAGAAACAGCAUCGGCAGACUCCGUGACAGCAGCCGCGGUAAUCCGGAGGAUGCGAGCGUUAUCCGGAGUUAUUGGGGUAAAGGGGUGGGUAGGCGGACUGUUAAGUUAGCGUGAAAAGCCCGGGGCUAAACCCCGGCGCGCCGUGGAAACUGGCUGUCUUGAGAUGUGGAGGGGUAGGCGGAAUGCUGAGUGUAGCGGUGAAAUGCUUAGAGAUUGCGCGGAACGCCGAUUGCGAAGGCAGCAUACCGGCGGCGAUCUGACGCUGAGGCACGAAAGCGUGGGGAUCGAACAGGAUUAGAUACCCGGGUAGUC
Molecule: ribosomal RNA, 459 nt
Filed under: uncultured bacterium
Lineage: Bacteria
Description: partial 16S ribosomal RNA
Rfam family: Bacterial small subunit ribosomal RNA
Source: RNAcentral